This 448-nucleotide ribosomal RNA is filed under the name uncultured Planctomycetota bacterium. RNAcentral's name for it is "bacterial SSU rRNA". It matches the Rfam family "Bacterial small subunit ribosomal RNA", at positions 217 to 656 of the family's 1533-position model. The record is from RNAcentral. Lineage: Bacteria; Pseudomonadati; Planctomycetota.
GCUUAGAGAGGGGUCAAUGUCCUAUCAGCUAGUUGGUAAGGUAAUGGCUUACCAAGGCUAAGACGGGUAGCCGGCCUGAGAGGGUGGUCGGCCACACUGGGACUGAGACACUGCCCAGACUCCUACGGGAGGCUGCAGUCGAGAAUCUUUCGCAAUGCCCGAAAGGGUGACGAAGCGACGCCGCGUGUGGGAAGAAGGCCUUCGGGUUGUAAACCACUGUCGGGAGUUAAGAAAUGUAAGGGUGCUAAUAGCAUCCUUACUUGACUAAGGCUCCGGAGGAAGCCACGGCUAACUCUGUGCCAGCAGCCGCGGUAAUACAGAGGCGGCAAGCGUUGUUCGGAAUUAUUGGGCGUAAAGAGCACGUAGGCGGCUUUGUAAGUCAGUUGUGAAAGCCUUCCGCUUAACGGAAGAACAGCAUCUGAUACUGCAAGGCUAGAGUGCGGAAGGG